CGGGGGAGGCCGGAUCCUGGGCUGUGUCCCGGCGGCCUGUGCCCUGGAGCCUGCGCUGGUGGAUUCGUGCCCCCGCCCCGCAGCCCCCU
This 89-nucleotide microRNA precursor is filed under the name Canis lupus dingo (dingo). Its description in RNAcentral is "mir-8799 microRNA precursor family". It matches the Rfam family "mir-8799 microRNA precursor family". The record is from Rfam by way of RNAcentral. Lineage: Eukaryota; Metazoa; Chordata; Mammalia; Carnivora; Canidae.